UGGCGGCGUGGAUAAGACAUGCAAGUCGAACGGGACCAGGUUUGUAGCAAUACAGGCUUGGUUCAGUGGCGCACGGGUGCGUAACACGUGAGCAAUCUGCCGGGAAGUGGGGGAUAGCUCGCCGAAAGGCGAAUUAAUACCGCAUGUGGCCAUUCUUCGAGUGGAGGAAAAGCCAAAGCAGCAAUGCGCUUCCUGAUGAGCUCGCGGCCUAUCAGCUAGAUGGCGGGGUAAUGGCCCACCAUGGCUUUGACGGGUAGCUGGUCUGAGAGGACGACCAGCCACACUGGAACUGAGAUACGGUCCAGACACCUACGGGUGGCAGCAGUCGAGAAUUUUUCACAAUGGGGGCAACCCUGAUGGAGCGACGCCGCGUGGAGGAUGAAGGCCUUCGGGUUGUAAACUCCUGUCAUGCGGGAACAAGCAAGUGAUAGUACCGCAAGAGGAAGAGACGGCUAACUCUGUGCCAGCAGCCGCGGUAAUACAGAGGUCUCAAGCGUUGUUCGGAUUCAUUGGGCGUAAAGGGUGCGUAGGUGGUGACGCAAGUCUGGUGUGAAAUCUCGGAGCUCAACUCCGAAAUUGCACCGGAUACUGCGUGACUCGAGGACUGUAGAGGAGAUCGGAAUUCACGGUGUAGCAA
Molecule: ribosomal RNA, 637 nt
Filed under: uncultured Spartobacteria bacterium
Lineage: Bacteria; Pseudomonadati; Verrucomicrobiota; Spartobacteria
Description: bacterial SSU rRNA
Rfam family: Bacterial small subunit ribosomal RNA
Source: RNAcentral